CUCGGGUUCCCUUCCACGCUGUGGAAGGUUUGUUCUUUUUGUUCUUUGCCUUAAAUGCUGCUGCUGCUGCUCAGUCUUUGGGUCCACACUGCUUUUAUGAGCUGUAACACCACGAAGGUCUGCAGCUUCACUCCUGAAGCCAGUGAGACCACAAACCCACUGGGAGGAACAAACAACUCCAGACGCGCCCGCUUAAGAGCUGUAACAUUCACCAGGAAGGUCUGCAGCUUAGAGCGAGACCACAAACCCCCCAGAAGGAAGAAACUCCGAAUACAUCCGAACAUCAGAAGGAACAAACUCCGGACACGCCACCUUUAAGAACUGUAACUCAUUGCGAGGGUCCGCGGCUUCAUUCUUGAAGUCAGUGAGACCGAGAACCAACCAAUUCCGGACACAGAACGAAUCAACCAAGGAUGGAAAGCCCCUCUUUGAGCCGAAGGACUAGAGGAACAAAAGACUCAGCCCCAAGGUUAUCCGCUGCUGCUGCCCCCGAGACAGUAAGACCGACUCCUCCUCUUUCUCCUCCUCUUCAUCCUACUCUAUGUGAAGACAAGAAUGAAGAUCUUUGUGACGAUCCACUUCCAGUGAAUGAUUAGUAAAUAUAUUUUCUCUUUCUGAUGAUAUUCUUAAUAAUAUUUUCUUUUCUCUAGCUUACUUCAUUGUAAGAAUCAGUUUAUCAUACAUAUAAUACACAAAUAUGUGUUAAUUGACUGUUUAUGUUAUCACUGAGGCGCCUGGUCAACAGUAGGCUUUUAGUAAAGUUUUUGGGGAUUGAAAAGUUAUAAUUGGAUUUUCAACUGUGCAGGGGUUUGGCAUCCUUAACUCCCGUGUUGUUCAAGCGUCAGCUGUAUUACUGAAUAAAAUACAGAUAAAAUAAAACCAAAUUAAGCCUUUUAAAUUAAGAAUGUAAUCACUAAGAGACUGUGGUCAACAAUGGAGGUCAUGACAAUAAAAUUCUGCUUUUGUUAUUUAUCCAAGUUACAUUUUUUCAUUCAUCUCCUCAGUCAGCAACAAAUACUUCUUCAGUACUUUGUGUCAGUUCUGCAGUCUACUAGGCACUGAUCCUCUCCCAAAAAUACAAUGGAAUGGUUUCUUUGUAGCUGGCAUCCUUUACAAUGUUUAAAUUCUUGGGACAUCCUGGACUGUAAGGGAAACAAAUAUUUCCAAUAGGAUGAAGAUAAAACUAUAUUUAAAGAUAAAGAAUUGUGCUAAGAGUAUCCACGUGACCUGGACCUGGGUGAGUGGGUCCUAGAAAAAUUUUUGCUUUCUUGCUACUCUUCCUUCUUCUCACUGGAAUGUAAAUGUAAAGGGUGGAGCUGCAGCAGCCAUCUUGCUAUCACAAAAGAAAGACUGAGAGAACAGCAGAAGAGUUGACCUUAAUGUUGUUGAACCACUGAAUCAACGCUGUAAACAAUCUAUCUCCAAAAUUCUUGGUAUGUGAGAAACUAAACUACUGUUUAUUUAAGUUGGGUUGUCUGUUAAGUGCAGCUGAAUGUCUUCCUAAUUGAUACAGAAAUGCAUUUAAAAAAUAGCAUGCACACUUUUUAGUAUGAGCUAAGAAAAUGAGUAAGAACACAGCACAUUGAACCCAAUUUUGCAUUUGCAAUCCCCAAAGAACCCUGGUACACUUUUGUAGAAUAUUAAUGUGAAACCUAAGUUUGGGGAAUGUCUCUGAUGAGAAGUUGGGAAACAGAAAUAGAUGAGACCUAUCUAUGGUGCAAAGAUAAAUUUUGGUUAGAAAGAAAAGAGCAAGAACAUGCACAAAAAUGUGUGGCAGAACCAGGCUGUGGGCAGGAACCAGAGGAGCUGUCUACUAUGGUUGUAUUUAAUAUGACUGCUGAGGACAAAGCUCUGAUUUUUUUAUCUGGCCCAAAUUCCUAUCUAAGGUGUCUGGAGAGUCAUGCCUUACAAACCAUACAUUCUCAUCAGAUGGGUUUUAUUUAACCCCAUAUAUUGUGACUUUCCAAUCUGACUCUGGCAUAAUAUUAUGUGACAAAAAAGAAAGUCAAAAUAUUUUACUCCAAAACAUCUUUCUUUGUCUUAUUUUGAAAUGGCCCUGCAAAUGUGUCCUUUGUGGGGGGAAAUUUAUACCUGUAAAGAAUCUCUAUUAACAUAGCUAUAUCUUUUUCUUCCUGGCCCUCCCAAUCCUAAAGAGAUUGAGUAAGAGUCUAGCACCUUUUAAAGGUCUGAAUAGGAAACAUUUGUCAUCUAUUCCCCCGAAGAACAGCCACUGUAAGACUUCAAAAGAACUGUGGUCUGCACAAUCUUUUAUCUUAACCUGAACAUUUCUUUUCUAUGGAACCCAGGUCUUUAGACAAACUCAACCAAUUGUCAACCAGAAAAUGUUUAAAUGUUUCUAUAGCCUGGAAGCCGCCUCCUCCCCACCACCAUCCCAUUCCACUUUGAGUUGUCUGGUUUUUCUAGACCAAACCAAUGUAUUUCUUAAAUGUAUUUGUUUGAUGUCUCAUGCCUCCCUAAAAUGUACAAAACCAAGCUGUGUCCAACCACCUUGGGCACAUGUCCUCAGGACCUUCUGAGGGCUGUGUCACCAGAUGUGGUCAUUCAUAUUUGGCUCAGAAUAAAUCUCUUCAAAUAUUU
RNAcentral lists this long non-coding RNA (2598 nucleotides) under Homo sapiens (human). RNAcentral's name for it is "HSALNT0214336". The record is from RNAcentral. Lineage: Eukaryota; Metazoa; Chordata; Mammalia; Primates; Hominidae.